UACGGGGGGGAGCAAGCGUUGUUCGGAUUUACUGGGCGUAAAGGGCGCGUAGGCGGUCGUGACAAGUCACUUGUGAAAUCUCCGGGCUUAACUCGGAACGGUCAAGUGAUACUGUCGGACUAGAGUACAGAAGGGGCAACUGGAAUUCUCGGUGUAGCGGUGAAAUGCGUAGAUAUCGAGAGGAACACCGGUGGCGAAGGCGGGUCUCUGGGCCGAUACUGACGCUGGAGGAGCGAAAGCGUGGGGAGCGAACAGG
RNAcentral lists this ribosomal RNA (256 nucleotides) under uncultured bacterium. RNAcentral's name for it is "partial 16S ribosomal RNA". It matches the Rfam family "Bacterial small subunit ribosomal RNA", at positions 524 to 776 of the family's 1533-position model. The record is from RNAcentral.